AACGCACGAGACCUGCGGACCUGCGGAGGGAUCAUUAGUGAACGCCCUCACGGGCUUAUAACUAUUCCAAACCUCUGUGAACCGUGCCCUUCGGGGCUAUUUUACAAACAUGGUGUUAUGAACGUCAUAUAUCAUAACAAAACAAAACUUUCAACAACGGAUCUCU
This 166-nucleotide unclassified non-coding RNA is filed under the name soil metagenome. RNAcentral's name for it is "partial contains 5.8S ribosomal RNA, internal transcribed spacer 2, and large subunit ribosomal RNA". The record is from RNAcentral.